UGGUGGAGUGAUUUGUCUGGUUUAUUCCGUUAACGAACGAGACCCGUGCCUGCUAAAUAGUCGAUGUUGCGCUCGUCGCAGCACUUGGCUUCUUAGAGGGACUUGCAUCUAUUCAGUUGAGGGAAGAAAGGGGCAAUAACA
This 141-nucleotide ribosomal RNA is filed under the name uncultured eukaryote. RNAcentral describes it as "partial 18S ribosomal RNA". It matches the Rfam family "Eukaryotic small subunit ribosomal RNA", at positions 1299 to 1458 of the family's 1831-position model. The record is from RNAcentral.